AAAGUACUCCCUCCGUCCAAAAAUACUUGUCCUUGAAAUGGAUAAAAAUGGAUGUAUCUACAAAUAAAAUAAGUCUAGAUACAUCCACUUCUAGGACAAGUAUUUCCGGACGGAUGGAGUAGAAC
Triticum aestivum (bread wheat) is the source of this 125-nucleotide non-coding RNA. The record is from Rfam. Lineage: Eukaryota; Viridiplantae; Streptophyta; Magnoliopsida; Poales; Poaceae.